AGUAUUUAUAUAUCCGGAGAAAGUUCUAUAGUAAAUUCUGGAGAUCUUCGGUAUUUAAAUAUCAACAUCGAUUUGUUUAUUUAUUGCUCAGCUUAUCGUAACCGACUCGAUAACAAAUCUAAUCAUGUUGCGCGCGGAAAAAAAUAUUCUCAUUAUGUAUUUUCCCUACGUUGUAGUUAACUGUUACAUUUGAAUUCGAGCUGUAAAUUCAAUAUUAUCAAGUAAUUACU
RNAcentral lists this long non-coding RNA (230 nucleotides) under Numida meleagris (helmeted guineafowl). RNAcentral describes it as "HOXA11 antisense RNA 1 conserved region 4 (ENSNMEG00000007780.1)". It matches the Rfam family "HOXA11 antisense RNA 1 conserved region 4". The record is from RNAcentral. Lineage: Eukaryota; Metazoa; Chordata; Aves; Galliformes; Numididae.